Molecule: ribosomal RNA, 84 nt
Filed under: Lagerstroemia speciosa (giant crepe-myrtle)
Lineage: Eukaryota; Viridiplantae; Streptophyta; Magnoliopsida; Myrtales; Lythraceae
Description: partial 5.8S ribosomal RNA
Rfam family: 5.8S ribosomal RNA
About the family: 5.8S ribosomal RNA (5.8S rRNA) is a component of the large subunit of the eukaryotic ribosome.
Source: RNAcentral
UGCAGAAUCCCGUGAACCAUCGAGUCUUUGAACGCAAGUUGCGCCCGAAGCCAUCCGGCCGAGGGCACGUCUGCCUGGGUGUCA